Molecule: ribosomal RNA, 492 nt
Filed under: uncultured bacterium
Lineage: Bacteria
Description: partial 16S ribosomal RNA
Rfam family: Bacterial small subunit ribosomal RNA
Source: RNAcentral
AGUGAACGCUGGCGGUAGGCCUAACACAUGCAAGUCGAACGGCAGCACAGUAAGAGCUUGCUCUUACGGGUGGCGAGUGGCGGACGGGUGAGGAAUACAUCGGACUCUACUUUUUCGUGGGGGAUAACGUAGGGAAACUUACGCUAAUACCGCAUACGACCUACGGGUGAAAGCAGGGGAUCUUCGGACCUUGCGCGAUUGCAUGAGCCGAUGUCGGAUUAGCUAGUUGGCGGGGUAAAGGCCCACCAAGGCGACGAUCCGUAGCUGGUCUGAGAGGAUGAUCAGCCACACUGGAACUGAGACACGGUCCAGACUCCUACGGGAGGCAGCAGUGGGGAAUAUUGGACAAGGGGCGCAAGCCUGAUCCAGCCAUACCGCGUGGGUGAAGAAGGCCUUCGGGUUGUAAAGCCCUUUUGUUGGGAAAGAAAAGCAGCAGGUUAAUACCCCGCUGUUCUGACGGUACCCAAAGAAUAAGCACCGGCUAACUUCGUG